CAAGGUAUUUUUUGUCAUACCUUGAAUUGUCCCUCAUUGUGACUUUCCCAUCACCCCUCUUAGUGGAAUGGUGAAGUCCAGCCUUUUCUCUUUAAUAUUUAGUGUGUGUAAGCCGUGCAGGUGAGACAGGUGAGCCAACUCUGGACCCGAAAAACAGGAAUCUGGAAAGACAGCCAAAAAACAUCAGUAAAAGUGAGCCAGGAUCAAAAGUUCGAAAAGAUGAACUUCAAAGAAGGAUGCUGUGGUGCAGAUAAUCUGACAAGAUUGAAGAGCGGCAUCUAAACGCCAACAGCAACAAUAACACCAGUGGACAUGCUAUUGUGUCACGUACUCCUGCCUCUCCAUCUAAUCAGAGGAUGUCAUUGUGUCCCACAUCACUAUUUGGGAGUUUGACAUAGAGCCUGGUUCCAGCACCUGGUCACUCUUCUACACUAACAUGUCAAGAGUGAUGCUUAGCCUGACUGGGAGAUUAGGAAGACAGGACCGAUCACCACGCAAGGACCGAUCCCCAACUCAACCUGUGAGCAGUGUAGCUCCUCUACCUGCCCUAGCCCAGGCUACUGCCAAAUUGAAGAAAGAUCAAACGCUCCAUGGCAUUGUCUUGGGACAAGAUGGGCUGACCUUUGACCCGACCUCAGUAGCCAUGUGGUGCUUUGCACCCCGAAUGACCUCUUAGAUGUAGGCCUGGACGAUGUCAAGUACAGAGAGUUCCAGCUUCAUCUCAUUGAUUAGGCUUAAUUAAGAUGUGUCUGAAUAUCAUGUCCUAAAUAACCAAUAAAUGGAACACGAAGACUCUAACUUUGUAGUUUCUUCUUACAAUUUAUGUCCAGAUAUAUUUGAUAAAAGCUUUAGAUAACUCUUUCCAAAUUCAGUAAGUUUGUUUCAUGUGAACAUUCGGUCACUACAGAAAAAUUAGGAUGAAAUAUCCCUUCUCUAUGAUAACUUAGAUUCUAAAUUUGAUAUAAUUUCCUGCUCAGAAGGUUGGAAUGUGUCUAACACGUCACUACUGAGUUUACCUUAGAGGUUAAGUGUAGAAAAGAUUCAAGGGGACGGGAGCAGGGGCAUAUAUCUGUUCAUCUUUAAAAUAUCCCACUCUAAAUUUUGAAGUAUCACAUGCAGAAAGCCUUUGGCUUGAAAUGUGUAUUGACAAGAAAAGAGUAAUUGUAGGUAUAAUAUACAGAAAACCAAAUACUGAUGUGUGGAUGAGUUCCAAGAUAAGUUGUUAAAUGUUACUUCACAUCUGAAAAGGUAAAUUGCAUUUUGAUGGGAGACUUUAACAUCAAUCUUUUAGAUACUGAUCAGAAGGUCGAACAUUCAAAACUGCAUUGCAUUGCGUAGGAUUAGAGCAAUUAAUUACAACCCCCACAAGGAUUACAAAACUGACUUCUUCUUUGAUUGAUCAUGCAUAUACAAAUUUAAAUCUUCAAAAAAUUCAUGCAGGUGUAAUAGAAACUGAUAUAUCUGACCAUUUUUCUAUCAUUGUAAUUUUUGAGCAAUGUACAGUUACUAGUAAUGAUACAUAAAAUAGGAGAAUUGUCUACUGUAGCUUUACAAAUUAUGAAGAUAAAAAGCUUCAGGAUGAAUUAUCAAUAUCAAGAUGGGAUUUUAUUUUCAAACAAAAAGACAUGAAUAAAGCAUAUAAUAAUGAUAAUGGUGGCUUCUUCUAUAGCUCACAUGUCCGUCACACUGACGCUCUUGGCGCUGCCCUGAUUAUUACCCUGGCUUUAGCAAGGCAGCCAUUACGGCACUCUAGCAUAUGACAUGUUUUACAAGUUAUUUCAAGAGAUAUGUGAUAAACAUGCACCAAUCGUAACACAAAGACCAACAGAUUGAUCAGUAUUUCUCAUGGAUUGAGCAUAUAAAAAUGGUACAGUAAAUCAAAAGAUUCGUUAAAAAGUCAGAAUUUUGUUCAGAAUAAGGCAUUAUGUUCCACAGAACAUUUAAGUGCUUUUAUACAAAGCGUUAAUCCAGCCACAUAUUUUGUAUGGAAUUGAGGUAUCCGGAACCACAUACAAAACCAAUUUGAAUUGUAUUUUCCUUACCCAGAAAAUGGCGAUGAGAGCAAUAACCUUUAGCCCAAGAGGUACCCAUUCAGAACCCCUGUUCCUAAAGACACAAUUUUUUUCAAUAAUUACAACCUUCAUUUCCUAUCUGUCUCAACCUUCAUCUAUAAGUUAUUGGCAAUCUUCCUCACUCCUUAAUUGAAUACUGUCAGAUAAUAAAUAGAGCACAGAUAUAGCACAAGGCGCAAAGAACACGGACAACUAAAUCUGCCUAAAUGCAAAACCACACAAGGUCAAUUUUAGAUAUCAUUUAUGGGCAUGAAAAUAUGGAAUAGUGUACCAUAUGAUUUAAGAGCAAAAAGAUCUAAAAAUGCUUUUUGGAAGAGGUUAAUGAAACAUCUAAAUACUUUGAGUUAAACAAACGUUAAGACUAUCUUUCAGAUCGAUCAUGCUCUGUUCUCAUUAUAUAAUGCACUUGUAUUACCACAUUUAUCAUAUUGUGUCAGUGUCUGGGGUAUAAUUGUGGCAAACUAAAAAUGAACAUCUUAUUUAAAUUACAGAAAAAGUACCGGUACUGCAUAUUUGUACCAGUAGCCAUUAUCUUGCUCAUUCCGCUCCUCUUUUUAUCAAUCUCAAAACCUUGAAAAAUUUGAUUUAUACCAGUAUCAUACAGCAGUGCUAGGGUUCCUUUAUUUUCAUAAUCUUCUUCCAUAUACAAUUUCGAACAUGUUUCCUACAAAUCUUAGUAUUCAUAAUUAUAACAAGAGAAAUCGAACCAAUUUUCAUCGUUGGAAAACUAUGUUUAUGUAUGAAGAAAAAUCUCCUUGGUGUAAUCUCCCGGUGAUUUGGAAUUCAUUACCAAAAUAUAUUCCCCUUUGCAAUAACCAAAGAUUAUU
This is a long non-coding RNA of Strongylocentrotus purpuratus (purple sea urchin), 2899 nucleotides long. RefSeq lists it as uncharacterized. Lineage: Eukaryota; Metazoa; Echinodermata; Echinoidea; Camarodonta; Strongylocentrotidae. The transcript is spliced from 3 exons. The record is from RefSeq and is a predicted model, not a curated record.